GAUGAAGAACGUAGCGAAAUGCGAUAAGUAAUGUGAAUUGCAGAAUUCAGUGAAUCAUCGAAUCUUUGAACGCACCUUGCGCCCUUUGGCCAUUCCGAAGGGCAUGCCUGUUUGAGUAUCAUGAACACCUCAACUCUUUAUGGUUUUCCAUGAUGAGCUUGGACUCUGGGGGUUUUGCUGGCUCACAGUCGGCUCCUCUGAAAUGAAUCAGCUUACCAGUGUUUGGUGGGUAUCAUAGGUGUGAUAACUAUCUACGCUUGUGGUUUUUCCACCAGGUAACCUUCAGCAGUGGAGGUUCGCUGGAGCUCAUAGAUGUCUCUCCUCAGUGAGGACAACCCUUUGAAUGUUUGAUCUCAAAUCAGGUAGGACUACCCGCUGAACUUAAGCAUAUCAAUAAGCGGAGGA
This 405-nucleotide unclassified non-coding RNA is filed under the name soil metagenome. Its description in RNAcentral is "partial contains 5.8S ribosomal RNA, internal transcribed spacer 2, and large subunit ribosomal RNA". The stretch from base 1 to 121 matches the Rfam family "5.8S ribosomal RNA", at positions 35 to 154 of the family's 154-position model. The record is from RNAcentral.